This is a long non-coding RNA of Bos taurus (domestic cattle), 445 nucleotides long. The record is from Ensembl. Lineage: Eukaryota; Metazoa; Chordata; Mammalia; Artiodactyla; Bovidae.
UGUCCCUUCUUGGAGGGAAGAGGAAACUGGAAGACCUUCUGCUAUUGGGUGAAAGAGAUUGGAAGUUGCUGAGCGAUGCCUGACGCUGUGUUCUGAAUACAUUUACAGAUGAGGAAACAGUGAUGCAGAGAUAUUAAGUGACUUGCACCAGAGCACAGCUAGGAGAUGACAGAGCCGGAUUCCAAAGCAGGCAGCCUGAGCUCACGGACCACUCCAACUCCUCACUGUCUGGUAGAGAAGACGCCAGAUGGAAAUCACUUAUUUCCUAUUGACCCUCAAGUCCGUCACUCUGUGAGCACUUUCUCCUCUACUUGGGUCAUUCUGUUCGUGAUUUCUUCUCUUCCAAGCCCACUUAGGUAGUGACUAUGUACAGGCCCUUAAGAGCCAUCCUACUUGGUGUAUUAUGGAUGAGAAAAAGAAAGUUUCUUGUAUUGUGUUUAUUCUC